UACGUAGGUGGCAAGCGUUGUCCGGAUUUACUGGGCGUAAAGAGCGCGCAGGCGGUCGUUCAAGUCGCGUGUGAAAGCCCCCGGCUCAACUGGGGAGGGUCACGCGAUACUGAUCGACUCGAAGGCAGGAGAGGGUAGUGGAAUUCCCGGUGUGGUGGUGAAAUGCGUAGAUAUCUGGAGGAACACCGGUGGCGAAGGCGGCAUCCUGGACCAACACUGACGCUGAUGAGCGAAAGCCAGGGGAGCAAACGGG
RNAcentral lists this ribosomal RNA (253 nucleotides) under uncultured bacterium. RNAcentral describes it as "partial 16S ribosomal RNA". It matches the Rfam family "Bacterial small subunit ribosomal RNA", at positions 524 to 776 of the family's 1533-position model. The record is from RNAcentral.